UGGAUUUGAAUACCCCUGUGGAGGACCCUUACGCACAACAAGGUUAUUCGAAUUUCGGUUACGGUGGCGAGCAAAGCUUUGUACAGCAGGAGUGUUAUCCAAACCAGAGUUACGGUUGUGAACAGAGCUUUGAACAUCAAGUCUAUUCGAAUCUCGGUGACGAUGGUGAGCCGGAGGAUGUGUCUACCUUUUCGUCACGUAAAGAGUUGGUGCGUUGGGUACAAGACACGGCAAAAGACAAUGGUUACCUCAUUGUGACAAAGAGGUCGAAUAAAAGAGGAGAGAAUUACAAGAUUUGGUUUCAAUGUACUUUUGGUGGGGAGCAU
RNAcentral lists this long non-coding RNA (326 nucleotides) under Helianthus annuus (common sunflower). RNAcentral describes it as "hypothetical non coding rna". Lineage: Eukaryota; Viridiplantae; Streptophyta; Magnoliopsida; Asterales; Asteraceae. The record is from RNAcentral.